This 2269-nucleotide ribosomal RNA is filed under the name Rhodococcus (subgen. Prescottella) equi. RNAcentral describes it as "Prescottella equi 23S ribosomal RNA". It matches the Rfam family "Bacterial large subunit ribosomal RNA". The record is from RNAcentral. Lineage: Bacteria; Bacillati; Actinomycetota; Actinomycetes; Mycobacteriales; Nocardiaceae.
ACAGUGGACGCGAGCAUCUUUGUUGUAAGUGUUUAAGAGCGUACGGUGGAUGCCUUGGCACCAGGAGCCGAUGAAGGACGUAGGAGGCUGCGAUAAGCCUCGGGGAGCUGUCAACCGAGCUGAGAUCCGAGGAUGUCCGAAUGGGGAAACCCAGCCACAGUGAUGUGUGGUUACCCGCGCCUGAAUAUAUAGGGCGUGUGGAGGGAACGUGGGGAAGUGAAACAUCUCAGUACCCACAGGAAGAGAAAACAACAUGUGAUUCCGUGAGUAGUGGCGAGCGAAAGCGGAAGAGGCUAAACCAUGGGUGUGUGAUAGCCGGCGGGCGUUGCAUUCGUGGGGUUGUGGGAUCCGUCUUGUCAAUUCUGCCGGAUUGGCCGACAGUGAGAAAUCAUCGUGUUAGUCGAAGUGGUCUGGAACGGCCUGUCGUAGAGGGUGAGAGUCCCGUAGACGAAAACAUGGUGACUGUCGUGACGGACACCCGAGUAGCAGCGGGCCCGUGAAAUCUGCUGUGAAUCUGUCGGGACCACCCGAUAAGCCUGAAUACUCCCUGGUGACCGAUAGCGGACUAGUACCGUGAGGGAAAGGUGAAAAGUACCCCGGGAGGGGAGUGAAUAGUACCUGAAGGCGAGGCCGACAGGCGUAGUCGAUGGACAACGGGUUGAUAUUCCCGUACCCGUGUGAACGCGCCCCUGGUGAAUCAGUGAUGCUAAGCGCCCUGAAGCCGCCUUCGAACCUUCGGGUUCUCCGGUGUGUGGAUGCGCGUGAACCGAUCUGGUAGUAGCCAAGCGAUGGGGUGACGCAGGAAGGUAGCUGAGCCAGUCAGUGGUAAUACUGGUGUAAGCGUGUAGGGCGUGACCUAGGCAAAUCCGGGUCACACACAGCCUGAGACGUGAUGCGUAGCCGAUUGAGGCGAAUUCAGUGAUCCUAUGCUGCCGAGAAAAGCCUCUAGCGAGCUUUCACACGGCCCGUACCCCAAACCGACACAGGUGGUCAGGUAGAGAAUACUAAGGCGAUCGAGAUAACUGUGGUUAAGGAACUCGGCAAAAUGCCCCCGUAACUUCGGGAGAAGGGGGGCCUCGUCUGGUGACGGAACUUGCUUCCUGAGCUGGGUGGGGCCGCAGAGACCAGAGAGAAGCGACUGUUUACUAAAAACACAGGUCCGUGCGAAGUCGUAAGACGAUGUAUACGGACUGACGCCUGCCCGGUGCUGGAAGGUUAAGAGGACCGGUUAGCCAGUAAUGGCGAAGCUGAGAAUUUAAGCCCCAGUAAACGGCGGUGGUAACUAUAACCAUCCUAAGGUAGCGAAAUUCCUUGUCGGGUAAGUUCCGACCUGCACGAAUGGCGUAACGACUUCUCUGCUGUCUCAACCACAGACUCGGCGAAAUUGCAUUACGAGUAAAGAUGCUCGUUACGCGCGGCAGGACGAAAAGACCCCGGGACCUUCACUAUAGCUUGGUAUUGGUGUUCGGUUCGGUUUGUGUAGGAUAGGUGGGAGACUGUGAAGCGGGCACGCCAGUGUUCGUGGAGUCGUUGUUGAAAUACCACUCUGAUCGUAUUGGACAUCUAACCUCGGACCAUGAUCUGGUUCAGGGACAGUGCCUGGUGGGUAGUUUAACUGGGGCGGUUGCCUCCCAAAAUGUAACGGAGGCGCCCAAAGGUUCCCUCAGCCUGGUUGGCAAUCAGGUGUCGAGUGCAAGUGCACAAGGGAGCUUGACUGUGAGACUGACAGGUCGAGCAGGGACGAAAGUCGGGACUAGUGAUCCGGCACCGGCAAGUGGAAGCGGUGUCGCUCAACGGAUAAAAGGUACCCCGGGGAUAACAGGCUGAUCUUCCCCAAGAGUCCAUAUCGACGGGAUGGUUUGGCACCUCGAUGUCGGCUCGUCGCAUCCUGGGGCUGGAGUAGGUCCCAAGGGUUGGGCUGUUCGCCCAUUAAAGCGGCACGCGAGCUGGGUUUAGAACGUCGUGAGACAGUUCGGUCUCUAUCCGCCGCGCGCGUUAGAAACUUGAGGAAGGCUGUCCCUAGUACGAGAGGACCGGGACGGACGAACCUCUGGUGUGCCAGUUGUUCCGCCAGGAGCACUGCUGGUUAGCUACGUUCGGAAGGGAUAACCGCUGAAAGCAUCUAAGCGGGAAGCCUGUUCCAAGAUGAGGUUUCUCACCCCCUCGAGGGGGUAAGGCCCCCGGCAGACCACCGGGUUGAUAGGCCAGAACUGGAAGCACAGUAAUGUGUGGAGGUGACUGGUACUAAUAGGCCGAGGACUUACCACAA